This 201-nucleotide unclassified non-coding RNA is filed under the name Hevea brasiliensis (rubber tree). The record is from RNAcentral. Lineage: Eukaryota; Viridiplantae; Streptophyta; Magnoliopsida; Malpighiales; Euphorbiaceae.
GUUUUCAUAUAGCAUACUUCUUUUUAUGGUUAACUAACCUUCAAAACGAUGACAAAAUCGUACACCAAGUAGGAAACAAAAAAUAGUACUAGUAGUAAACAAUGUGCUGAUCACACAUUUAGUCCUUUACAUCAGUGACUCCUUCAACAGAAAUUUGAAAUCUUGCUUCUGCUUCAGCUAAGCAUGGCGAACUGACUACUU